This 310-nucleotide ribosomal RNA is filed under the name uncultured bacterium. RNAcentral describes it as "bacterial SSU rRNA". It matches the Rfam family "Bacterial small subunit ribosomal RNA", at positions 1078 to 1398 of the family's 1533-position model. The record is from RNAcentral.
GGUAGUCCGCACGAGCGCAACCCUUGCCAUUAGUUGCUACGAAAGGGCACUCUAAUGGGACUGCCGGUGACAAACCGGAGGAAGGUGGGGAUGACGUCAAGUCCUCAUGGCCCUUAUAGGUGGGGCUACACACGUCAUACAAUGGCCGGUACAGAGGGUAGCCAACCCGCGAGGGGGAGCCAAUCCCACAAAGCCGGUCGUAGUCCGGAUCGCAGUCUGCAACUCGACUGCGUGAAGUCGGAAUCGCUAGUAAUCGCGGAUCAGCAUGUCGCGGUGAAUACGUUCCCGGGUCUUGUACACACCGCCCGUG